This is a non-coding RNA of Pelobates cultripes (western spadefoot toad), 261 nucleotides long. The record is from the annotation of a GenBank genome assembly. NCBI's taxonomy places the organism in Eukaryota, Metazoa, Chordata, Amphibia, Anura, Pelobatidae.
CGUGUUUAGAGUAGCUUAGUUCAACGGGAGGAGACCGUCCGUCUCUCCCCCGUUCUGACUCCUGUAUGCCUUAACCUGCUGCCUCUGUUCUCGGUGCCUCAGAGCGUCAAUUAAGGUAUCCACAGGUGGGUUAAGGUGCCACCAGCAUGGUUGUCACCAUGAGUAGAGGACUCCGAGUUGCCAGCCCGGGUAAUAUCACCGGGUAAUCAGCACUGGCAACAGGAGCUCGUGCAAUGCACGUCUUGCCUGCUUACAGUCCAG